Molecule: long non-coding RNA, 493 nt
Filed under: Rhinopithecus bieti (black snub-nosed monkey)
Lineage: Eukaryota; Metazoa; Chordata; Mammalia; Primates; Cercopithecidae
Description: lncRNA (ENSRBIG00000045916.1)
Source: RNAcentral
AAGCCCUCAGCUCCUGCCCGAGAGUUUCUGUAAUUCGCUCCCACACCACGUCAUGCCUUUUGGCUCCCAGCCAGCUUUCGGUUGUCCUGAUAAGAGGAUGCAGCAUUUGAGCAGCAGCUUCUGGAACCCAGAGUGAAGCCCCACCCAGGCACCCUGACAGCACCACGGGAAUGCUCCCGGCACAGCAAAUGGGACUCUGGAGAAGCACAGCCUCCGUGCUCCUUGUAGAUGUUCAGUUCAAACUCCACAGUUUGUGUGACUCACUGAGGGGCUUGGUUUGGUUCUUGCUCACGAGUCUGUCAUCGGUGCCAGGUGAGGUUACCAGGACCGUCAGCCUGAGGAGAAUCAGCUCUUCCACACCAAAUCCUGACGAUCACAUGGCAGAGUGAGCAGGAGCGAGGUACCAGCAGCCCUCGUAGGUGGGUCAUGCACCCCCUAGUGUCCCAUGUCCCCACUGUUCCCUGUGGCUAUAUCCAUUCCACUUGACUUACUU